GUGGGGAAUCUUGCGCAAUGGACGAAAGUCUGACGCAGCGAUUCCGCGUGGAGGAUGAAGCAUCAUGGUGUGUAAACUCCUUUUCUGGUGGAAGACGACUGACGGUACACCAGGAAUAAGGGACGGCUAACUACGUGCCAGCAGCCGCGGUAAUACGUAGGUCCCGAGUGUUAUCCGGAAUUACUGGGCGUAAAGCGUCUGUAGCCGGAUGUAUAAGUCUGUUUUCAAAUCCUAUGGCUCAACCAUAGAAAGGGAAUAGAUACUGUAUAUCUAGAGUUUGUUGGGGGUUAGUGGAAUUUCCGGUGGAGCGGUGAAAUGUGUUGAUAUCGGAAGGAACGCCAAAAGCGAAAGCAGCUAACUACAGCAAAACUGACGGUGAGAGACGAAAGCUUGGGUAGCAAACGGGAUUAGAUACCCUGGUAGUCC
This 426-nucleotide ribosomal RNA is filed under the name uncultured bacterium. Its description in RNAcentral is "bacterial SSU rRNA". It matches the Rfam family "Bacterial small subunit ribosomal RNA", at positions 354 to 796 of the family's 1533-position model. The record is from RNAcentral.